AGUUUGAUUAUGGCUCAGAUUGAACGCUGGCGGCAUGCCUUACACAUGGUCGAACGGCAGCGCGGGAGCAAUCCCGCGCGAGGCGAAAAUGGGUGAGUAAUACAUCGGAACGCCCAGUAGUGGGGAUAGUCCGGCGAAAGCCGGAUUAAUACCGGCAUACGACCUACGGGUGAAAGGGGGGAUCGCAAGACCCUCUCGCUAUUGAGUGGGCCGGAUAUCAGAUUAGGUAGUUGUGGGGUAAAGGCCUACCAAGCCUGCGUGAUCUGUAGUUGGUCUUGAGAGGACGACCAGCCACACUGGGACUGAGACACGGCCCAGACUCCUACGGAGGUGCAGUGGGGAAUUUGGACAAUGGGCGCAAGCCUGAUCCAGCAAUGCCGCGUGCAGGAAGAAGGCUCGGGUUGUAAACUGCUUUUGUCAGGGAAGAAAUCCUCUGCUACUUACCUCGGGGGGAUGACGGUACCUGAAGAAUAAGCACUCAUAACUACGCCAGCAGCCGCGGUAAUACGUAGGUGCGAGCGUUAAUCGGAAUUACUGGGCGUAGCGUGCGUGGCGGCAGGCGGUUGUGCAAGACAGGUGAAAUCCCAGAGCUUAACUUUGAACCGUGGGCAUUUUUAACUACCGGCUAGAGUGCGUCAGAGGAGGUGGAAUUCCGGGCGUGUAGCAGGAAUGCGUAGAUAUGCGGAGGAACACUGAUGGCGAAGGCAGCUCUGGGAUAACACUGACGCUCAUGCACGAAAGCGUGGGGCGAGCAAACAGGAUUAGAUACCUCUGGUAGUCCACGCCCUAAACGAUGUCAACUAGCUGCUGGGGCCUCGGGCCUUGGCAGCGCAGCUAACGCGUGAAGGACCGCCGCCUGGGGAGUACGGUCGCAAGAUUAAAACCCAAAGAAUUGACGGGGACCCGCACAAGCGGUGGAUGAUGUGGAUUAAUUCGAUGCAACGCGAAAACCUUAUCACCCUUGACAUGUCUGGAAUGCCGAAGAGAUUGGCAGUGCUGCAAGAGAACCGGAACACAGGCGUUGCAUGGCUGUCGUCAGCUGUGUCGUGGAGAUGUUGGGUUAAGUCCUGCAACGAGCGCAACCCUUGUCAUUAGUUGCUACGAAAGGGCACUCUAAUGAGACUGCCGGUGACAAACUGAGGAAGGUGGGGAUGACGUCAAGUCCUCAUGGCCCUUAUGGGUAGGGCUUCACACGUCAUACAAUGGUCGGGACAGAGGGAACACAACCCGCGAGGGGGAGCCAAUCCCAGAAACCCGAUCGUAGUCCGGAUCGCAGUCUGCAACUCGACUGCGUGAAGUCGGAAUCGCUAGUAAUCGCGGAUCAGCAUGUCGCGGUGAAUACGUUCCCGGGUCUUGUACACACCGCCCGUCACACCAUGGGAGUGGGUUUUACCAGAAGUAGUUAGCCUAACCGCAAGGGGGCGAUUACCACGGUAGGAUUCAUGACUGGGGUGAAGUCGUAACAAGCGUAG
RNAcentral lists this ribosomal RNA (1472 nucleotides) under uncultured Bordetella sp. Its description in RNAcentral is "partial 16S-23S ribosomal RNA intergenic spacer". It matches the Rfam family "Bacterial small subunit ribosomal RNA". The record is from RNAcentral. Lineage: Bacteria; Pseudomonadati; Pseudomonadota; Betaproteobacteria; Burkholderiales; Alcaligenaceae.